RNAcentral lists this transfer RNA (64 nucleotides) under Cavia porcellus (domestic guinea pig). It matches the Rfam family "tRNA", at positions 1 to 62 of the family's 71-position model. Rfam says of the family: Transfer RNA (tRNA) molecules are approximately 80 nucleotides in length. Their secondary structure includes four short double-helical elements and three loops (D, anti-codon, and T loops). The record is from Rfam by way of RNAcentral. Lineage: Eukaryota; Metazoa; Chordata; Mammalia; Rodentia; Caviidae.
GGGGACUUAGCUUGGUGGCCUAAGUGCCUGCUUUGCAAGCAGGCGGUUGUGAGUUCAAUCCCCG